RNAcentral lists this ribosomal RNA (855 nucleotides) under uncultured bacterium. RNAcentral's name for it is "bacterial SSU rRNA". It matches the Rfam family "Bacterial small subunit ribosomal RNA", at positions 49 to 911 of the family's 1533-position model. The record is from RNAcentral.
UAACACAUGCAAGUCGAGCGAACCCUUCGGGGUGAGCGGCGGACGGGUGAGUAACGCGUGGGUAACCUGCCCUGUACACACGGAUAACAUACCGAAAGGUAUGCUAAUACGGGAUAACAUAAUAAAAUCGCGUGGUUUUGUUAUCAAAGCUGAGGCGGUACAGGAUGGACCCGCGUCUGAUUAGCUAGUUGGUAGGGUAAAGGCCUACCAAGGCGACGAUGCGUAGCCGACCUGAGAGGGUGAACGGCCACACUGGGACUGAGACACGGCCCAGACUCCUACGGGAGGCAGCAGUAGGGAAUCGUCGGCAAUGGGCGAAAGCCUGACCGAGCAACGCCGCGUGAAUGAUGAAGGCCUUCGGGUUGUAAAAUUCUGUUAUAAGGGAAGAACGACUUUAGUAGGAAAUGGCUAGAGUGUGACGGUACCUUAUGAGAAAGCCACGGCUAACUACGUGCCAGCAGCCGCGGUAAUACGUAGGUGGCGAGCGUUAUCCGGAAUUAUUGGGCGUAAAGAGCGCGCAGGUGGUUGAUUAAGUCUGAUGUGAAAGCCCACGGCUUAACCGUGGAGGGUCAUUGGAAACUGGUCAACUUGAGUGCAGAAGAGGGAAGUGGAAUUCCAUGUGUAGCGGUGAAAUGCGUAGAGAUAUGGAGGAACACCAGUGGCGAAGGCGGCUUCCUGGUCUGUAACUGACACUGAGGCGCGAAAGCGUGGGGAGCAAACAGGAUUAGAUACCCUGGUAGUCCACGCCGUAAACGAUGAGUGCUAAGUGUUGGGGGUCGAACCUCAGUGCUGAAGUUAACGCAUUAAGCACUCCGCCUGGGGAGUACGGUCGCAAGACUGAAACUCAAAGGAAUU